RNAcentral lists this ribosomal RNA (440 nucleotides) under uncultured bacterium. Its description in RNAcentral is "partial 16S ribosomal RNA". It matches the Rfam family "Bacterial small subunit ribosomal RNA", at positions 338 to 795 of the family's 1533-position model. The record is from RNAcentral.
CCUACGGGGGGCAGCAGUGGGGAAUAUUGCACAAUGGGGGAAACCCUGAUGCAGCGACGCCGCGUGAGUGAAGAAGUAUUUCGGUACGUAAAGCUCUAUCAGCAGGGAAGAAAAUGACGGUACCUGACUAAGAAGCCCCGGCUAACUACGUGCCAGCAGCCGCGGUCAUACGUAGGGGGCAAGCGUUAUCCGGAUUUACUGGGUGUAAAGGGAGCGUAGACGGCAGCGCAAGUCUGGAGUGAAAUCACAUGGCUUAACCAUGGAACUGCUUUGGAAACUGUGCAGCUGGAGUGCAGGAGAGGUAAGCGGAAUUCCUAGUGUAGCGGUGAAAUGCGUAGAUAUUAGGAGGAACACCAGUGGCGAAGGCGGCUUACUGGACUGUAACUGACGUUGAGGCUCGAAAGCGUGGGGAGCAAACAGGAUUAGAUACCCUUGUAGUC